GACGAACGCUGGCGGCGUGCUUAACACAUGCAAGUCGAACGGAAAGGCCCUGCUUGCAGGGUACUCGAGUGGCGAACGGGUGAGUAACACGUGGGUGAUCUGCCCUGCACUUCGGGAUAAGCCUGGGAAACUGGGUCUAAUACCGGAUAGGAGCCAUUUUUAGUGCGAUGGUUGGAAAGUUUUUUCGGUGUAGGAUGAGCUCGCGGCCUAUCAGCUUGUUGGUGGGGUAAUGGCCUACCAAGGCGGCGACGGGUAGCCGGCCUGAGAGGGUGGACGGCCACAUUGGGACUGAGAUACGGCCCAGACUCCUACGGGAGGCAGCAGUGGGGAAUAUUGCACAAUGGGCGCAAGCCUGAUGCAGCGACGCCGCGUGGGGGAUGACGGCCUUCGGGUUGUAAACUCCUUUCGCUAGGGACGAAGCUUUUUGUGACGGUACCUAGAGAAGAAGCACCGGCUAACUACGUG
This 465-nucleotide ribosomal RNA is filed under the name uncultured bacterium. RNAcentral describes it as "partial 16S ribosomal RNA". It matches the Rfam family "Bacterial small subunit ribosomal RNA", at positions 28 to 507 of the family's 1533-position model. The record is from RNAcentral.